This 3076-nucleotide ribosomal RNA is filed under the name Nitrospirales bacterium. RNAcentral's name for it is "23S ribosomal RNA". It matches the Rfam family "Bacterial large subunit ribosomal RNA". The record is from RNAcentral. Lineage: Bacteria; Pseudomonadati; Nitrospirota; Nitrospiria; Nitrospirales.
UUAAGUUACUAAGGGUGUAUGGUGGAUGUUUAGGCGCCAAGAAGCGAAGAAGGACGCAAUAGACUGCGAAAAGCCUCGGCGAGCUGUCAAUAAGCUGUGACCCGGGGGUAUCCGAAUGGGGUAACCCGCCAAGCAGAAGGCUUGGUAUCUGUGUCUGAACACAUAGGACAUGGAAGCGAACGGGGUGAAUUGAAACAUCUUAGUAACCCCAGGAAAAGAAAGAAAACUCGACUACCUGAGUAGCGGCGAGCGAAAUGGUAAGAGCCCAAACCUGAUGUACGUAAUAGCCUCUAAGCGUUGUAUAUUGGGGGUAGCGGGAGUUCUCAUUGUUAGGUUAGAGACUAGCAGAAGAGUUACAAAAGAUAUAUCUAGCUGAAUACUUUUGGAAAAAGUAGCGAGACAAGGUGAAAGCCCUGUAGGCGAAAGGUAUAUCACUCUUAGAGAGCCACCCAAGUAGCACCGGACACGAGAAACCCGGUGUGAAUCAGGGAAGACCACUUCCUAAGGCUAAGUAUUCCUUGGCGACCGAUAGUGAACAAGUAAGGCGACUGAAAAAUGAAAAGUACCCCGUUGAGGGGAGUGAAAUAGUACCUGAAACCAUACACUUACAAGCUGUAGGAGCACGAUGGUGAUGCUAAUUUGUGGAACUACCAUAAGGUAGGGAAGCAAGGCGUGGAAAGUAUCUGAGGAUACCGGAAGCGAAUAUUACCGUGUGUGACUGCGUGCCUUUUGCAUAAUGAUCCGGCGAGUUACUGUAUGCAGCAAGGUUAAACGUUUCAGACGUGGAGCCAAAGCGAAAGCGAGUGUUAAUAGCGCGUUAAGUUGUAUGUAGUAGACCCGAAAGCCAGUGAUCUAACCAUGGCCAGGGUGAAGCGAGUUUAAUAGCCCGUGGAGGCCCGAACGCACUUAUGUUGAAAAAUGAGGCGAUGAGCUGUGGUUAGGAGUAAAAGUCUAAUCAAACUGGCCAAUAUCUGGUUCUCUCCGAAAUAGCUUUCGGGCUAGCCUUUUGCGUUAGCAUACGGGGGUAGAGAUACUGAAUGAAUCGGUGGGGCCUUCCCGGCUACCCCAUUCAACCAAACUCCGAAUACCGUGUGUGUAGAGCAAGGGAGUCAGACUGUGGGGGAUAAGCUUCAUGGUCAAGAGGGAAACAGCCCAGACCGCUAGCUAAGGUCCCGAAAUCAUACUAAGUUAAAAGGAAGUGAGAAUGCUAAGACAGCUAGGAUGUUGGCUUAGAAGCAGCCACCAUUUAAAAAGUGCGUAAUAGCUUACUAGUCGAGCAUUUUUGCGCCGAAAAUAUAAGGGAUUAAGUAUGAUACCGAAGCUGCGGAUGUUAUUAUUGCUACGGUGAUAAUAGCGUGGUAGGAGAGCGUUCCAUUUAAGGAAGAAGACAGAUCGUAAGGACUGUUGGACGAAAUGGAAGUGAUUAUGCCGGAACGAGUAACGAUAAAAUAAGUGAAAAUCUUAUUCGCCGAAAACCUAAGGUUUCCUGGGGAAGGUAAAUCCGCCCAGGGUUAGUCGGUCCCUAAGACGAGGUCGAAAGGCGUAGUCGAUGGAAAGCAGGUUAAUAUUCCUGCACUGCCGAUAAUAUGUUGGAGCAAUCCUGAAACCACGGAGGGACGGAGAAGGUUAGGUCAACCCUGUGACUGGUAGAGCAGGGCCAAGCCAGUAGAAGGGGCUGCUAGGAAAAUCCGGUAGCCUGUAUAACUUCGAGAGGUGAUGGGGGAGCGUAAGCUCAGAAGUGAUCAACACCAAGCUUCCAAGAAAAGCUUCGUAAGGUGAGUAUUAUAGGUAGCCGUACUAAAACUGACACAGGUAGGUAGGGUGAGAAUCCUAAGGCGCUCGAGAGAACCUCCGUUAAGGAACUCGGCAAAUUGACCCCGUAACUUCGGGAGAAGGGGUGCCUCUGAAAGUGAAACGAUUAACUCGUGAAGCAUUCGGAGGCCGCAGAAAAAUGGCCCGGGCGACUGUUUACUAAAAACACAGGACUCUGCCAAGACGUAAAGUCGAUGUAUAGAGUCUGACGCCUGCUCAGUGCCGGAAGGUUAAGGGGAAGGGUUAGCUUAGGCGAAGCUCUGAACUAAAGCCCCGGUUAACGGCGGCCGUAACUAUGACGGUCCUAAGGUAGCGAAGUUCCUUGUCGGGUAAGUUCCGACCUGCACGAAUGGCGUAACGACUUGGGCACUGUCUCAACGGAGGACUCGGUGAAACUGUAGCAGCGGUGAAGAUGCCGCUUACCCGCAGCAAGACGGAAAGACCCCGUGAACCUUUACUAUAGCAUGGUAUUGGGUUUCGGUAUAACUUGUGUAGGAUAGGUGGGAGGCGAAGAACGGGAGACGUUAGUCUUUCGGGAGCCGUCGGUGAAAUACCACCCUUGUUAUGCUGGAAUUCUAACCCGUAUCCGUAAUCCGGUACGGGGACAGUGCUUUGUGGGUAGUUUGGCUGGGGCGGUCUCCUCCCAAAGAGUAACGGAGGAGCCCAAUGGUAUCCUCAGUACGGUUGGCAAUCGUACGUAGAGCGCAAAAGUAUAAGGAUACUUGACUGCGAGACCUAUAGGUCGAGCAGGUGUGAAAGCAGGGUUUAGUGAUCCGGUGAUCCCGUGUGGAAGGGUCAUCGCUCAACAGAUAAAAGGUACUCCGGGGAUAACAGGCUUAUCGCCUCCAAGAGUUCAUAUCGACGAGGCGGUUUGGCACCUCGAUGUCGGCUCAUCACAUCCUGGGGCUGGAGAAGGUCCCAAGGGUUCGGCUGUUCGCCGAUUAAAGUGGUACGCGAGCUGGGUUUAGACCGUCGUGAGACAGGUCGGUCCCUAUCUGCUGUGGGUGUAGGAAACUUGAAGAAAUUUGCCCCUAGUACGAGAGGAUUGGGGUGGACGAGCCUCUGGUGUACCAGUUGUCGUGCCAACGGCACAGCUGGGUAGCUACGCUCGGACAGGAUAAGCGCUGAAAGCAUAUAAGCGCGAAGCCUAUUCUAAAACUAGGUUUCCCUGAAGGGUCCAAGAAGACGACUUGGUUGAUAGGCUGGGUGUGUAAGUGCAGUAAUGUAUUUAGCUAACCAGUACUAAUAACCCGUUUGACUUAAG